This 237-nucleotide long non-coding RNA is filed under the name Lathyrus oleraceus (garden pea). RNAcentral describes it as "Pisum sativum (pea) long non-coding RNA (PSAT_LNC040779)". Lineage: Eukaryota; Viridiplantae; Streptophyta; Magnoliopsida; Fabales; Fabaceae. The record is from RNAcentral.
AGGUACCACUUAUUUCUUUUCUCUUCAACUUGGUUUUUGCACGCGAGCAACAAAGUUUCUUCGUCUCCGCAUUUUUCUUCUACAAAGCUAGCUUUCUCCACAACCUUCUUCAAGAAUUUACACUUAGAUGCAUAGUGACCGAUCUUGUUGUAGUUGAAGCACUUGAUUUGUGAUUUGUCACACCUCGGCCAUGAAUUUCCUCUUCCACAUCCUCUUGUUGCUUGUGGAUUUCAAAUU